CCCGGACACUCCAGCCGCCCUAGGCGAGCCGCUGGGAGAUGAGGUUAAGUUUGCGGUAGGGUUGACGCCUGCUGUUGCCCGGGUGGGCCACGGUUACCGUGACCGCAAUUCCGGGGUCCCAACUCGCCCCAAACUGAUCACUCUCCUCCACCACUAACCUGGUUCUUUGAUGAGACCUUUUCCCCAGCGCGCGCUCACGCUGCUGGUGCCCUCGUUAGGAUUCUGUGCCGGGCAGCGGGAGGCUUUCUGCCCUUUGUCUGUUCCCACGACCCGAGCCUUUGCUGUGUCAGACUGAACCCUUUGCUUUAAUCUGUUUCGAUGUUCGAUGAGCAUGAUUUACGCACUUAAGUCUGGCCUCUAACCAAGUCAACUUUACUGCGCGUCCUGCCCCAGGGUUUCUCUGUGCUCCUCUCUUGCCCGCGGUCAGAUCUAGCCGGCCUUAUCCCGCAUCGGAAGCAUUUUAGGAAGGGUCUUUAUCACCCACUGCGCUCCCGGCAGCCUCCGUGCCGUUUCAUCUACGACUAAUGCGUUUUCUCCGCGAGAAGGGUGAGCCUGGUACUCUUUUAAUUAGACCUGGCUCCAGAGCGCCGGGAGCUUGCAUGAAGAGGAGUUUGCCAAGAAACUGAACAAAACCGUUAGUGAGAUCUUAGCUGCUUCCUCUACCCGCCCAGUCGCUGGGAGCAUUGUCAUUCCCAGAGGCAGAAGUUCCUGGCGAGCCCUGUUAAGGGGAGGAAUUGGGUUUGGGCCGGCUUGAAGGGGCUUGAGGCUAUGACAGAGUUUAUACCCUGCUAGGGGUGACCCCCUGGGUUUGACGUGCUGUCUGACCUUGAGCGCACAGAGGGCCAGAGGAGGUGGGCGGACAGUCGACACGCUCCCGUAACCCGUAAGCAAAAAGCUAAGCAGUAUGCCUUCUUCCGAAGUUACUAAGCCACCCUUUUUCUGCGUUAGUGUGCCAGUAGGAGACCAUCCGUCCGAAGGGGGCAUUCCCAGUGACGGUGUGGGCUCAGGAGAGGAACGGGAGGGGGGGCUGCCUGGAUGGGAAAGACGGUUUCUACAAGUAGGAGGGUCUGGUGUUGGCUCCUGGUCUUCUCGGAUUAGGUGUACAAGGAUUGGAAGGUUAGGGCCUUGAAAAGCAGUUUCAACGGUCUAGACUAAAAACUCCUAGUAAGAAAAACACCAACAGAAGGGGCAAGGAGAGUGUGAUAAACAGAUCAGUGGGAGGACACUGGAGGCAGAGCCGCAGAAAUUAAAGCCAGCUUGACAGUCCAUUUUUAACUCCACUCAGGCAGCUGCGCCGCCUGAAGGUCAGGGAGCCAGGGAAGGAGGUGCUGAUAGGCUGGUCUUUGAAAGUAGAUUCCACUUCUAUUUCAAUACUAGAAAAGUGGAAAAUAAACAAGCCCAUUUAAGCUGAUUAAAAAGCAAUUUCAGUGGCUACUGUGUUCAGGACCAAUGGAUGGGCCCCUGGUCAGGUCUGGGACGGCAGCUGCCUGGCAGUCUGGGGGUGGGGCCCAGGGCACAGAGCCUCCUUUCCUUAUCUGGGUGGCAAUAUUGAUAAGGCUGCCUCCAAAGAGAGUUAUUAGAACAAUAUAAUGGGUGGUCUGAACCUACCUCCAGCCUCUGUGAUCUAAAGGUUAAGAGAGCCCUGUGGCCCUGGUUCCUUUCCCAACAGGGAAGAACCACCACUCCCUCAGUUGUUACACUGUAGCGGCUGCAUGUUGCUGAAAGCUAUGCUGUGGGGAUUUCAAAUUCCAGCAGGGUCACUCAUGGUGGACAGGUUUCAUCAGAGCUUCCCGACUAAGAUAGACUAAGAAGAGCUCCCGGCCACCCACUUCUGAAUAAAUUGGUCAUGAAAACCCUGUGAAUAGCAGCAGAGCAUCAUCUGAUGCAGCACCGGAAGAUUUGUGUGUGAAUAUCCACUAUCAUUUCUCUUGGAUAAAUGCCUAGCAGUGGAAUUGCUGAGUCAUACACAGGAGCAGAAGAACCAGGUGAUGUGAAAUCAUUCAGAAGCAUCCAAAAGAAGCCUGGUCCCGCUCAGAGGCUGAGGGAACUCCAGACACGUUGGGCACGAGGGGCUGGGCUGACUAGGGUCCGAAGGCCAAAGCCAAGACAGCCAGGAGGAGUCCCAGCCACAGUUAGAGGGAACGUGCAUUGUAGAGCUGGCUGCUGCAAAUAGGAAAAGGAAGAGCGACAGAGGAGGCUGGACGACGUGAAUGCACAGUGCCAAGGCAGAAACGUGGAACCCAGACAAGCAAUUACAGCUAUCUACUGCAACAGCUUGUCAUGGCUGUCUUAGUGGGAAACGUCUUGAAUAAAAUCCUAGAGCCAUUCCGAGGAAUCUGAGUUGGAAAGGGUCCUAUGGAGGAGGAGGGCGGGUGGGGAGGGGAAAAGGCAGAGAAGAGAGAGAAGAAGGAGCGGGCAGGAAGGACUAAGACCUAUGAGAGGGAAGAAAAAUGUGGAAGGCACAUUAGAUUUCAGUCCUUAAACCAGAGGUUCUAACUGUUUUUAUUGAAUUGACCAUAUGUUUAUAAUUAAGCAUUACAUUAUACUAUAUAAACAUUAAAUAAAUAUUAUUCAUAUAGAAUUACAUGUGUGGACACAGCACAUCCUGAGCGGAAGAAUCAGUUGCCGCCUCUUCUCCGAGGCAUUUUUGGGGUCCUCAUGUGGAAUUACUCCUCUCGUUUGCUCCCAGAGGUCACAGCCCGUUCUCUUAUGGUUCUGCAUCACGACGUCGCAUGUUGCCUAUUUCUCUCUCCAGUAGAUUAUGAGCUUUGUGAGAGGAAGAGGGCCUCUGUCCAUAUAACUAAUAUUUAUUGAGAGCUUGUUUUGUGCUAGGCCUUUUGCAAAGCACUUGACAUGUUUUUAAUCCUCUAAACAAUCCUACAUGUGAAUAUUUUUAUUCCCAUUUUAAAGAUGAUAAAGCCAAAGCGAAGCAAGUUAAGUAUUGUCGAGCUCACACAGCAAGAAAGAGGGAGCGCUGGGGUUUGGGAAUAGGCAGUCUGAUUCCUAAACCUUCACUCUUAAGUGAGCUAAUGUAUCGUGCCACCCUGCACCUAACUUAAGAAGACUGUUAGUUUAGUUACUUGAAUUGUUAGUGGCCAAAUUCUUUCAAAGUCUAAC
RNAcentral lists this long non-coding RNA (3117 nucleotides) under Equus asinus (donkey). RNAcentral's name for it is "lncRNA (ENSEASG00005030184.1)". Lineage: Eukaryota; Metazoa; Chordata; Mammalia; Perissodactyla; Equidae. The record is from RNAcentral.